Molecule: long non-coding RNA, 875 nt
Filed under: Lepisosteus oculatus (spotted gar)
Lineage: Eukaryota; Metazoa; Chordata; Actinopteri; Semionotiformes; Lepisosteidae
Description: lncRNA (ENSLOCG00000022192.1)
Source: RNAcentral
AUGCAGUCACCAAACCUAUUAUGUCUAGCUGCACAACAUGAGAAAGGACAUGUUUUAAAAAAAGCAGAGUUUUUUGACAAACGGAAUCAGGAUGACGCAAAGCCAAAAAUAAAUGAAGCACAAGAGGAUCUGGAGGAGGCAGAUACAGACACAGGGGGAUCUGCAAACAUAACACAGAAAGACCAAGAGGAGAGGAUACAAGUGACACAGGACGAAAAGGAUGAGAAGACAGAACUGACACAGGGAGACAUGGAGGAGGAGACAGCAGAGAAUACACAACAUGAGAAAGGACAUGUUUUAAAAAAAGCAGAGUUUUUUGACAAAUGGAAUCAGGAUGACUCAAAGACAAAAAUAAAUGAAGCACAAGAGGAUCUGAAGGAGGCAGAUACAGACACAGGGGGUUCUGCAAACAUAACACAGAAAGACAAGGAGGAGAGGACACAAGUGAGACAGGACGAAAAGGAUGAGAAGACAGAACUGACACAGGGAGACAUAGAGGAGAAAACAGUGGCGAAUGCACAACAUGGGAAAGGUAACAUGAAGGUGUAUAGUACUUUAGGUCUGCUUUGCCUCUUCAGAACUAGGAAAUUAUAUGAAAACACAAUUUUCUAUCUUAGGCACAAAAUAUUACUGUAGUUGCUAAUGCCAUGAAGUACCUUAAUGAAAGAAACAUUUAGUGCAGAGUUUUUUAUAAGGAAUCUAAGCCACAUCCUAAAUAGCUCCUCUGUUCAUGACUUCUUUAAGACUGCAUUACACUAAGUUUUGCCGUUCUGUGUAGACCAUUUCCAGUCUCUCUAAACCUGAAGAGGAGGUGUCUGACUUGCAUUUUAAGGAAAGAAAAGAGCAUCAUCAAAAUCCAACAAGACCCAUCAACC